This 251-nucleotide ribosomal RNA is filed under the name uncultured prokaryote. RNAcentral's name for it is "partial 16S ribosomal RNA". It matches the Rfam family "Bacterial small subunit ribosomal RNA", at positions 524 to 774 of the family's 1533-position model. The record is from RNAcentral.
UACGGAGGAUGCAAGCGUUAUCCGGAUUUAUUGGGUUUAAAGGGUGCGCAGGUUGUUUGAUAAGUCAGUGGUGCAAGUCUGUCGCUUAACGGUAGGAUUGCCAUUGAUACUGUUAGACUUGAAUAUGGAUGAGGUAGGCGGAAUGUGUAGUGUAGCGGUGAAAUGCAUAGAUAUUACACAGAACACCGAUUGCGAAGGCAGCUUACUAAUCCAUCAUUGACGCUGAGGCACGAAAGCGUGGGGAUCAAACA